GUGAAUCAUCGAAUUUUUGAACGCAAAUUGCACUCUCUGGUAAUACGGUGAGUAUGUCUGUUUGAGGGUCAGUUUAAAUAAAAAUCGGUGUGGUUGCUGCCUUUCGUGGUGACGCAUUGGAUUUGGGUAGUUUUGCUUUCGGUUAAGUGAUAUAAAUUUUUGUAUGGUUUUUUUCGAAUGUAUUUAAAUGAUUUUACUUACGUUUUCGAUAUCGAAUUCUAGGUGUGGUUAUCCUUCAUAUUC
Molecule: unclassified non-coding RNA, 243 nt
Filed under: Glomeraceae sp.
Lineage: Eukaryota; Fungi; Glomeromycota; Glomeromycetes; Glomerales; Glomeraceae
Description: partial contains 5.8S ribosomal RNA and internal transcribed spacer 2
Rfam family: 5.8S ribosomal RNA (bases 1-71)
Source: RNAcentral